GUUACCCAUCAACAACAACGGCUUCUCUCCUCCACCACCACCUCCUCCUCCUGCUGCUGCUCCUCCUCACCCCCAUCCUCACCAUCACCCACAACAACAACAACAACAGCCUCCACCAGCAAGAGCAACACCACGACCAUCACUACUACCACAGCCCUCCACAACCCAGGGAGCUACUGGAAGAAGGGGAGAUAAGGUGGCAAUCCACGCUGUUUUUAUUUCUCUGCUUUUUACUUAAAAUUCGGCAAACCGAAGUCUGGUUAUAUGUGACCCUAGGUUUGUGUUCUCCCUCUUGGAACUUGUGUGUGGGCCUUGGACUCCCGCUGAGAUUGUGUGGAUUUGGAGACUCAGGCACUUGUGAACUUUUUCCUUCUGAUCAUCUUCUCCAUGCUGGCUCUUUAACCUCUUCUAUACUUAUUAUAAACAGGUUGUUUCGUACUUAUUGUCAAUAACUUGCUCACUCAUACACAAGCAGUUGUCUUUGUGCUGCAAAUCAUUCUGUUGUUCUUAAACACCGUAUCACAGUGCUGUGUUUAUUUGCAGGCCUGUAAGAGAAAUCUUCUAAUUCCAUUUUUAUAGUGUUGUUAUUUCAUCAAUAUUAAGAUCUGUAGAAGAUCCACCUUGAUUGAGACUAUGAUUGGAAUAAGCUGCAUUUUGUCAGCAGCCACUCCAAUAUUCCCCCAGAUAUUCUCAUUAAUACAUUUUACUUCACUUUAUCAGUUUUUCAUUAAACAGAGGUUGAGGAAAGAGAGGAUGGAAAUGUAGUCAGAAAUCAUAUUAAUUAUCACAGUUUUGAAGGAUAUGCUGGCUUUCUUUUCUUGUGGCUUUUUACUUUCUCUGGAGUGCUAAAAGUGAAGUCAGGUUAAUCAUAAUAACCUAUGAAUCCUUUGAAUUUAAAAUACCUGUAUGUUUAAUCAUUUUUGGUUGCUAGAUAUACAGUCUUGUACUAGGAGCAUAUGGCAAUUGUUUGUUUUUUCUGGACUCAACGUAGUAUUUCUAACACUCGUGGGACAGUUUUUUAAUGUCCAUUUACUUUCUGCCUAAUCCUUCAAUUCUUCUUUUAACAUGACACAAAAUCAUCUCUCAACUAAUAAUGGUCAUUGAUUUAGUAUUUUAUUUAUACUGCAGUCGUGGGUGUAAUGUUCACUUAACUCAGGUAAAUGGGACUUAACGUCUGAGUAAACAGACUCAUGAUUGACUUGCAUGGUUAUUAAUGGAGUAAAAGGUCUUAAAACCUCAUAUGUUCAGUGUGAUUUUGGAGGAAAUCUGAAUGUUUCCUAACCAAAUUCUCAUUAACUUGAUUGAUUUUUGUAUAAAGGAAACUAAUUUAAUUGUGAAUAUUGUUAUUCUUUACAUUUGUGAAACCUGUAUUGAAUAGCUUGUUGCUUGUAACAGUGCCAACAAAAAGAUACAGUAUUGAUUUAUCUGACAAAGCAACCCCUGAAGAAUGUGGCAGUGUCUAUUAUUCCUCAGAUUAUCAAGUGCAGAACCGGUUAGAUAAUUAAAGCUUUGGUAAUGCCAGGACUACUUUCUAAAUUACAAUUUGUGUGCUACAUAGUUUUAUAUGUAUAGCAUAUUUGUUUGCAUAAUAUGUUAAAGAUGUAAGUUCUGUCCAUAAACUAUAAAGGACAGACAACACAUUCCCCCUCAACUCCCUAUUAUGUAUUAUUUACCAUGUGGAAGCUGGACGUAAUUGUGUUAUAUUCAGAAGAGAAUAAACCCACUAUUUAAUACUCA
This is a long non-coding RNA of Pogona vitticeps (central bearded dragon), 1737 nucleotides long. NCBI's taxonomy places the organism in Eukaryota, Metazoa, Chordata, Lepidosauria, Squamata, Agamidae. The record is from Ensembl.